This 169-nucleotide ribosomal RNA is filed under the name uncultured bacterium WkB48. RNAcentral's name for it is "partial 16S ribosomal RNA". It matches the Rfam family "Bacterial small subunit ribosomal RNA", at positions 338 to 524 of the family's 1533-position model. The record is from RNAcentral.
CCUACGGGAGGCAGCAGUGGGGAAUUUUGCGCAAUGGGGGAAACCCUGACGCAGCAACGCCGCGUGGAGGAUGAAAUCCCUUGGGAUGUAAACUCCUUUCGAUAGGGAAGAUUAUGACGGUACCUAUAGAAGAAGCCCCGGCUAACUUCGUGCCAGCAGCCGCGGUAAU